CACACUACGUUGGGUAGGGGAGCGUUCUGUAAGCCUGUGAAGGUGUGUCGUGAGGCAUGCUGGAGAAAGUUGUUCGUGAGUCUCUCAAAUUUUCGCAACACGAUGAUGAAUCGUAAGAAACAUAUCAGACAAUCUGUGUGGGCACUCGAAGAUACGGAUUCUUAACGUCGCAAGACGAAAGCUUUUGACUCUGUCGGUUCACUCUGAAAGAACACUACCAUCGGCGCUUCCUCCGUUACUCUUUAGAUCUUCGGGUUGUGAGGUUCCUCCGUUACUCUUUAGUCCUCCGUUACUCUUUAGGUGAAAUUGAACUCGCUGUGAAGAUGCAGUGUACCCGCGGCAAGACGGAAAGACCCCGUGAACCUUUACUAUAGCUUGACACUGAACAUUGAGCCUUGAUGUGUAGGAUAGGUGGGAGGCUUUGAAGUGUGGACGCCAGUCUGCAUGGAGCCGACCUUGAAAUACCACCCUUUAAUGUUUGAUGUUCUAACGUGGACCCGU
This 501-nucleotide ribosomal RNA is filed under the name Salmonella enterica subsp. enterica serovar Infantis. RNAcentral's name for it is "partial 23S ribosomal RNA". It matches the Rfam family "Bacterial large subunit ribosomal RNA", at positions 1215 to 2236 of the family's 2925-position model. Lineage: Bacteria; Pseudomonadati; Pseudomonadota; Gammaproteobacteria; Enterobacterales; Enterobacteriaceae. The record is from RNAcentral.